RNAcentral lists this ribosomal RNA (432 nucleotides) under uncultured actinomycete. RNAcentral's name for it is "bacterial SSU rRNA". It matches the Rfam family "Bacterial small subunit ribosomal RNA", at positions 28 to 458 of the family's 1533-position model. Lineage: Bacteria; Bacillati; Actinomycetota; Actinomycetes; Actinomycetales. The record is from RNAcentral.
GAUGAACGCUGGCGGCGUGCUUAACACAUGCAAGUCGAACGAUGAAKCCGGAGCUUGCUCUGGUGGAUUAGUGGCGAACGGGUGAGUAACACGUGAGUAACCUGCCCUUGACUCUGGGAUAAGCGUUGGAAACGACGUCUAAUACCGGAUACGACCCUCGGAGGCAUCUCCUGGGGGUGGAAAGAAUUUCGGUCAAGGAUGGACUCGCGGCCUAUCAGGUAGUUGGUGAGGUAACGGCUCACCAAGCCRACGACGGGUAGCCGGCCUGAGAGGGUGACCGGCCACACUGGGACUGAGACACGGCCCAGACUCCUACGGGAGGCAGCAGUGGGGAAUAUUGCACAAUGGGCGCAAGCCUGAUGCAGCAACGCCGCGUGAGGGACGACGGCCUUCGGGUUGUAAACCUCUUUUAGUAGGGAAGAAGCGAAAGUG